UACGUAGGGUGCGAGCGUUGUCCGGAAUCACUGGGCGUAAAGGGCGCGUAGGUGGCGCGGGCAGUCAACGGUGAAAGUUCGGGGCUCAACCCUGAAUCGGCCGUCGAUACUCCCGGGCUUGAGCACUGUAGAGGCAGAUGGAAUUCCGGGUGUAGCGGUGGAAUGCGUAGAGAUCCGGAAGAACACCGGUGGCGAAGGCGGUCUGCUGGGCAGUUGCUGACACUGAGGCGCGACAGCGUGGGGAGCGAACAGG
Molecule: ribosomal RNA, 253 nt
Filed under: uncultured bacterium
Lineage: Bacteria
Description: partial 16S ribosomal RNA
Rfam family: Bacterial small subunit ribosomal RNA
Source: RNAcentral